AGGUGGGUCCGUUGAAUGAAUUGAUAACAUGUCGCCCUGAACAAAAAACUUAAUUAUAGAAAUGUGGUUUGAUUAUAUUUAUAUGAUGUUUUCUUAAAAAAUUGGAUUCUAACUGUUGAAUUUACUUACUUGGAAAAAAAAUGGAUCAAUGAUAGUGUGGAUGUAGUUUAAGGAUUUUAAAACUUUGCAAUACAAAAUUUAAUGCUUGAAAUUUAUUGAAGCAAAGGGAAUUUUUACAAUGUUUGGGUAAUCUUACUCAAAUUAUGUCUUAUUUAUUAUCAAUUGUGUAUAUUUUUAGGCUUUUUUAGAACCUCUUGUAAUUUUCAAAAUCUUUUCAACACAUAAAACCAUAUUUAAUGGUUUUUAAGAAUCA
Molecule: long non-coding RNA, 373 nt
Filed under: Physcomitrium patens
Lineage: Eukaryota; Viridiplantae; Streptophyta; Bryopsida; Funariales; Funariaceae
Description: long non-coding RNA (PPAT_LNC002995)
Source: RNAcentral